GGAGCUACUUUUGGACAGUGGGAAAUCAGCGUCAUCUGGGGUCUGGGGGUAGCGAUGGCUAUCUACCUGACGGCAGGUGUUUCUGGCGCACACCUGAACCCGGCAGUGACCAUCGCACUCUGGCUAUGGCCUGUGAGGGUUGCUGGAGGUAUCAGAAGUGCGAAUGCUGACAUAAGUAACGAUAAAGCGGGUGAAAAGCCCGCUCGCCGGAAGACCAAGGGUUCCUGUCCAACGUUAAUCGGGGCAGGGUGAG
This 253-nucleotide ribosomal RNA is filed under the name Salmonella enterica subsp. enterica serovar Montevideo. RNAcentral's name for it is "partial 23S ribosomal RNA". It matches the Rfam family "Bacterial large subunit ribosomal RNA", at positions 726 to 1383 of the family's 2925-position model. Lineage: Bacteria; Pseudomonadati; Pseudomonadota; Gammaproteobacteria; Enterobacterales; Enterobacteriaceae. The record is from RNAcentral.